RNAcentral lists this long non-coding RNA (1046 nucleotides) under Canis lupus familiaris (dog). Its description in RNAcentral is "lncRNA (ENSCAFG00845001521.1)". Lineage: Eukaryota; Metazoa; Chordata; Mammalia; Carnivora; Canidae. The record is from RNAcentral.
GCUACAGCCACCCCAGCCUUCAGCCAGCCACCACCCUGAACAGUCAGCAGCCAUCAGCAUUGAGGCAUGACAUCCACCAGCAAAAAGACUAUGACUCACUGAAAGCUGAGUUAUAUAAAGAGUUAGCAUUUUUUAGCAAUUAAGUAUUUUUAAAUUAAGGUUUAUGGAUUGUAUUUUUUAGACAUAAUACUCUUACACACUUAAUAGACCAUAAUGUAGUAUAAACUUUUAUAUGUACUUUUUUAAUUAAAAAAUUCAUUUGACUGGCUUUUUUUGUGACAUUUACUUUAUUGCAGGUGUCUAGAACCAAAUCCACAAUAUCUCGAGGUAUGCAUGUAAUUAGACGUCAGAGUCGCCAUUAGAAUGUGCUGAUGGCAAUCUAGAACAUGAGGAACAUGAACAUCCAGGGUGGGAACUUCCUUAUCUGGAGGAAAUCUGCUACCCAGACAGCAACCCCUUCCCAGAUCCUUGCUGAGUGAAGUGACUAAACUCCAUCUCUCCCACCCAUCUGGUUGGAAGCCGAAAGCCAGAAGCCCCAUGUCCCCAGCAGCAGCAGAUUUUCUCCUGCAGGGCCCGUACUAGUCUAUCAAUGAAUGUCCUCUCCGUUCUUGGAGGUCAGAAGCCAUUUCUUCCAUGGAGCCUUCCCAGAGCCCUCCUGGAGCCCUCCUGACCAUACUAGCUGGUUUGGUGAUGGUAAAAAAAAAGAAGAAGAAGAAGAAGAAGAAGAAGAAGAAGAAGGAGAAGGAGAAGGAGAAGGAGAAGGAGAAGGAGAAGGAGAAGGAGAAGGAGAAGGAGAAGGAGAAGGAGAAGGAGAAGGAGAAGGAGAAGGAGAAGGAGAAGAGAAGAAGAAGAAGAAGAAGAAGAAGAAGAAGAAGAAGAAGAAGAAGAAGAAGAAGAAGAAGAAGAAGAAGAAAGAUAAAGAAAAGUUUGCAAUGCCAAUAUACAGAAUGAAUUUGGCUGAGCCCUUUUUUCCAGAAGAAGGAUUCAGCAUCACAGAUUUGACUGUCAGCUGUGGUGCCUGGCGGCCCCGCCGAUUGGCACUCUGA